GAUGAAGAACGCAGCGAAAUGCGAUACGUAAUGUGAAUUGCAGAAUUCAGUGAAUCAUCGAAUCUUUGAACGCACAUUGCGCCCUCUGGUAUUCCGGGGGGCAUGCCUGUUCGAGCGUCAUUAUAACCACUCAAGCUCUCGCUUGGUAUUGGGGUUCGCGGUUUCGCGGCCCCUAAAAUCAGUGGCGGUGCCUGUCGGCUCUACGCGUAGUAAUACUCCUCGCGAUUGAGUCCGGUAGGUCUACUUGCCAGCAACCCCUAAUUUUUUUUAAGGUUGACCUCGGAUCAGGUAGGGAUACCCGCUGAACUUAAGCAUAUCAAUAAGCGGAGGA
This 331-nucleotide unclassified non-coding RNA is filed under the name soil metagenome. RNAcentral describes it as "partial contains 5.8S ribosomal RNA, internal transcribed spacer 2, and large subunit ribosomal RNA". The stretch from base 1 to 120 matches the Rfam family "5.8S ribosomal RNA", at positions 35 to 154 of the family's 154-position model. The record is from RNAcentral.